AAGCUCGUAGUUGAAUUUCGGGAUCAAAUUGUCGGUCGUGCCUCGGUACGUACUGGCGUUAUUGGUUACUCCCUUCUGAAGAACCACGAUGUCAUUAAUUUGGUGUCGCGGGGAAUCAGGACUGUUACUUUGAAAAAAUUAGAGUGUUUAAAGCAGGCUCGCGCUUGAAUACAUUAGCAUGGAAUAAUGAAAUAGGACGUUUGAUUCUAUUUUGUUGGUUUCUAGGAUCGACGUAAUGAUUAAUAGGGAUAGUUGGGGGCAUUAGUAUUCAAUUGUCAGAGGUGAAAUUCUUGGAUUUAUUGAAGACUAACUACUGCGAAAGCAUUUGCCAAGGAUGUUUUCAUUAAUCAAGAACGAAAGUUAGGGGAUCGAAGACGAUCAGAUACCGUCGUAGUCUUAACCAUAAACUAUGCCGACUAGGGAUCGGAUGAUGUUAAUUUUUUAAUGACUCAUUCGGCGCCUUACGGGAAACCAAAGUGUUUGGGUUCCGGGGGGAGUAUGGUCGCAAGGCUGAAACUUAAAGGAAUUGACGGAAGGGCACCACCAGGGGUGGAGCCUGCGGCUUAAUUUGACUCAACACGGGGAAACUCACCAGGUCCAGACAUAGUAAGGAUUGACAGAUUGAGAGCUCUUUCUUGAUUCUAUGGGUG
RNAcentral lists this ribosomal RNA (650 nucleotides) under uncultured Glomus. RNAcentral's name for it is "SSU rRNA". It matches the Rfam family "Eukaryotic small subunit ribosomal RNA", at positions 624 to 1276 of the family's 1831-position model. Lineage: Eukaryota; Fungi; Glomeromycota; Glomeromycetes; Glomerales; Glomeraceae. The record is from RNAcentral.